RNAcentral lists this long non-coding RNA (3067 nucleotides) under Homo sapiens (human). RNAcentral's name for it is "HSALNT0154606". The record is from RNAcentral. Lineage: Eukaryota; Metazoa; Chordata; Mammalia; Primates; Hominidae.
AUUCCUGACAUUUGGUUUGUUUGCCUUUCUCAGUACUUUAAGAUUUCUAUAUUUAAUCUCAAGAUUCAAGACUGCAAGAAUGUGAAGGAAUCUUAAAGCAUAUGCCGGUAUAACCUCAGUCGGAAGAUUGGAUUCUAUUUAGCAUUCCUACUAAGAAGUUGCCAGUGGAAUUUUAUUUGGAUACAUCCACUGAUUAGGCGCUCACUGACUCAUAAGAAUAUCUCAUAAGGAUGAAUCUUCUGUCUCUGCAGCAAACCAAGUUCUGCAGAGAGAAAUGCUCCAUGAAAGCAAGGAUAAAUCAAACUGGCCUGGAGAACUGAAAUUUGUCUGUACUUCUGUGUAGCAGGAAAUUAGUCUCAGAAGUGAAGAGAGAAUAUGAUAGAGCAGCACUCUGCUAGAAGAAACACUGGACUGCAAAUUUGGAGACCUGGGUUUCAGUAUUGACUCUGCUGAGAACUCACCAUGUGGUUUUGGGGAGUUCUUGAAACCACUCUGGAUGUCAGUUUUCACAUCUGUGACAAGAGGAUAUUGUAAUGGAUUAUGUCGUUUUCCCACCCUACUCUAUCAUGUUAGUAUCAUUAAUUAGAUAUGAAAGGGAAGACAAGAGAAAGCAGGCAGGUAUAAAAGACUAAGGGGCAUAUAUAGGAAGGAGUGAAGAGAGGGUUUGAAAACUAAAUUAGAGGGAAGAUAGGGAUGAAAUUGAGACGAAGUCAGGUGGAGAGAGGCUAGAUGGAUUUCGCAGAUCACCCUUGGAGCUUUCAUAUACUAGAAGCUUAGGGUUGAGGCAGCUGAGAAGAUUGGCUCACAUGCUUGAAGAGCCUCCAUGAGAAAUUGUGUUAAUGAAAUUUGCACACAGUUUGCCCCUUCCUCAUGCCUUCUGCUGCCCGGUGGAUUAUCUCCCAGACUGGAAUGUUUCUGAUCUCAUCUUGUCUUGUUUCCAGAGAGAGAUAAGGGCACUGAGACCAUCUGUUCUGGUGUUUCUUUCUGAAUCAUACCCCACCUAGGGGCUUGCUGCAGGAGGGAGGGCACCAUGUCCUCCCAAUUUUUCUCUUCUUCCCUAAAAAAACUCCUGCAAAUCCAGAACCCCACAGGUACUAGCCUCUUGUCCUUAGCCAACAGCAUCGCCUCCACUCCACCACCAAGCACACAGCUGGCAACAGUGCUGUUUCCAUGGUGAUAAUGAAUGGCAACAGGCAGUAAUCAAGAUGGGUCGCUGGAGUCAUAAGUCAUUACAGAUUGCAUUUAAAGGCACACAGCUACAUUUAAAAUAAUAAAUUACUUUUUUUGAGCAUCUUCCUUGCUUCAAUCUCUCAGAAAAGAGUUAAUUGGCCGUUUGUUUUGCAUGUUUAUUUUCUUGUAUUUCUUUCCAUUUGUAUAGGGAAUCAGAUUGGUCAGUUUCCUCAACAGGAUAUCCUAGGCAGAGUUGAGAGCUGCCCACACACACUAAGGCUUAAGACACUGGGAAAGGCAGACUUACCAAAAAAGAAGUAUUUUUCCUAUCCCUGGCAGUACUUGGAACUUCAAUAUGACACAUACAUUUAUCUGGUUCUUUACUUUGGAGUUCCAAGUGUCUUAUUGGAAGUUAAACAGUCUUAGGAAUUUGGCAUCCACUGACACUGUAGCUACAUUUCAGAAUAAGAAUAAUAGAACCUUAUUGAAUUUAUGCUCAGAACACAUGGGCUUGAGUUUCAGCCAUGCCCCCAAAAUGGUGAUCUUGAGUAAGUCUCAUAAUGUUUUUGAUCAUUAAUAUCUUUAUCUUUAAAUUAGAAAUAAUAUUACUUAGCUUGGAGGAUUAUUAUGAGGAUCAAAUAAUAGAUUCAGAAACUAUAUAAAUAAUACAUCACUUUCUUAAUUUAACAUGCUUUUAGAAAUUGUUUUAGUAUAUUGAUUUUAGAAGUGACAAUAAUGACCAUCUUAGUGUCCCCCAGAAUCCCAGUUUAGAUAAGAGGUAGGGUACUUUGUGUGUGACUUCAAAGAAACCGUUUGUAUUUUGUGAACAAUUUUUUUCCCUAAUCUGUAAAAUGGGAAUGGUGCCUCCUGCUCUGCUUAUGUCACGGUUGCAGUGAAGAUCAAACGAAAUAACCCACUUAUAAGUCCUCACAUAUCAACUGCUCAGUAUUACACGGAAGUAAGCUAUGGUCAUUUAGAAAGCAUCCUGUUAAAAACAAGAUUGCGUUAGUGAUCACAUUCAACUAUUUUUCCGUACUGCAAAUCUUUCAUUCCAGACUUAAAAUCAUGUCUCACUAAAGUCCAAUCCUCCAUGAGGUUAAAAAUAAAUUCCUUAUUUCACCCUGUAAUUACAGUUUUAUCUUUUCUGUUCCUUCUCAGUCUCUAAAGCUGAAUGUUGUCUAAUGGUCUUAUUGACAACCUGAGAUAAAAUAAACAGGUAAAUAUGGAGCAGUCAUUCAUUUGUUCUGGGGAGCAAGGGAAUUGGUAGGAAAAUGGUUUUGCAUAACAGGUAUUCCUCAUGGCAAAACAUACAAUUAUUUUUGAGAUCUCUUUGUGAACUAAGAUUUAAACCAAAUUGCAUGCCAUUAAUAUUUCUCUCUGACUGUUGGUCUCAGUUUUUUAAUUAGGUAACAGCUGAAGCAGGAUGCAAUUUAGUUACACAACGAUUCAUCUUCUAUAUUAAGAUAUAUUAAUAAUAAUAUUUGUGAUGAAUUAUACAUGUCACUUUACAGAGGUCCUAAUGCAAGUACAAAUCAGCCACAGCCACCUAAGAAAUUCAGCUCUGCUUAUUUUCAUAUCGAGAAGGUGCACGCCUGUAUAUUCUUCGCAUAAAUCUUGUCAUUAAAUUCUUCCUUCAAAUUAUCUCUUAUUCAGAGACCUCUGGCAAUAAAUAAAUAAAUAAAUAAAUAAAUAAAUAAAUAAUGAAAACUUUGCACUGCUUUACAUCUGGAACCUUAGACAUUUAUAUUUUGUCUGAAAAUAGCACCACUAAAGGUUUUAUCACACAAUGUCUUACAUCACUAUAGAAACUUAACUUGAAUUUUUUCAUUUCAUCAAACUCUUCAUGUUAAAGGUGAUAUAUUAAUCAAAACCACUAUCCUAACUGUUAAUAUUAUCA